Molecule: long non-coding RNA, 8352 nt
Filed under: Triticum aestivum (bread wheat)
Lineage: Eukaryota; Viridiplantae; Streptophyta; Magnoliopsida; Poales; Poaceae
Description: long non-coding RNA (TAES_LNC004457)
Rfam family: MIR1120/MIR1122 microRNA precursor family (bases 4987-5101)
Source: RNAcentral
GAAAUACAUAUCAAGAACUAAUCCUCCAGUGUCUUGUUUAUUCAGGUUCCAUUUGCUCGUUCCUCACUAAACCACGACGAUGUCUUUAUCUUGGAUACUGAAAAGAAAAUAUAUCAAUUCAAUGGUGCUAACUCCAAUAUUCAAGAAAGAGCCAAAGCACUGGAAGUGAUCCAACAUUUAAAGGACAAGUACCAUGAAGGAGUUUGUGAUGUUGCAAUUGUUGGUGAGAUGGCCAACAUUUUAACUAAAUACUUGUGACAUAGUGAAGCAAGUAAACACAUUUACUUAAGUUGCUUUUUAUAAUAGAUGAUGGAAAAUUGCAAGCAGAAUCAGAUUCCGGUGAAUUCUGGGUCGUUUUUGGUGGUUUUGCACCAAUAGGGAAGAAAGCUCUAAGUGAUGAUGAUGUUAUUCUUGAAACUACACCAACAAAGCUUUACAGGUAGCUCUACAAGGAUUUUUUUUUGAAAUAAUUGUAAAAGGAUUGCAACAUCAAACUAACCAACAAUUAGGUACUCAUCAAUUUUGAACUUAUGCAAUGUUAUAGUGAAUUACAUAUUUGUACCUACAAAAGGCAGUUACACCUAUUGGAGAGUCAGAAGUGGGGGCUGUGAGAUGUGACUCAGUAGGUUGAGAAGAUGGAGACUUCGUACCUCUCUUCGUAAAAUAGAAACUUCACAUAUAGAAGUUUAUGGUUAAAGAGUGUAGACAUUGAAAUAGCUCGACGCUAUGCUGAAACUAAAAUCCUUUGGACGGUGUUUGGAUAUCUCUCAUUACCAUUUCUUAGAUUAGCCUGCUCUUUCUAUAGGUUUCUGCAAUUUCCUGUUAGUCAAGUAAUAUCUACUGAAUGGGCAGCAGACUUCUAGUUGACCCGUAAAGUUUAUUACUCCUUCUGUCCCAUAAUAUAAGAUGUUAUUACAACCAAUAUGCGAGGGAGUACUAUAUAUGGAGUAUAUCGGUUGUAAUAACAUCUUAUAUUAUGGGAUGGAGGGAGUACUAUAUAUGUAGGUCUGCGUGCCCCAUUGUACGCUAGAUUUAUUUUACAAGUUUUCAGUCUCAACUUUGUAUUCAUUCCUUGAACUGUCUUCAGUCUUUACACAUGUCAACUGUUAUGUUUGCAGUGUCAAUAAUGGUAAACUGACGUUAGAAGAUACCGUUUUGACAAAAUCAAUUCUUGAGAACACUAAAUGCUUUUUACUUGACUGCGGGUCCGAGUUAUAUGUAUGGGUUGGUCGAGUAACACAAGUGGAUGAUAGAAAAGCUGCAAGUGUGGCGGUUGAGGUAAACGCACAAGACAUCCUUUUGAGCUUCUUAUCUUGUUCAAAUAAGUCAUCCUAUCUAUAUCUUUGAUUUGCAGGAAUUCAUUGUUAAGCAAAAUAGGCCAAAGACAACAAGAGUAACUCAAGUAAUUCAAGGUUAUGAGGACCAUACGUUCAAGUCCAAAUUUGAUUCGUGGCCUGUAACUAACGCGGCAGGAGCCAGCGGGGAGGAUGGCCGAGGAAAAGUUGCAGGUAAUUUAUUUUUUAUUGUACAUUGGGAUAUUAAAAAGUUCCUCUUUUGAUUGGUGUUGAGAAUACUUUGUUCUCCUCUAGCGCUGUUGAAGAAAAAAGGUGAUGUUAAGGGAGCCUCAAAAAACAGCCCUGCAGUAAAUGAGGAAAUUCCUCCUUUGCUAGAAGGCGGUGGAAAGCUUGAGGUUUUGCUUAUCAUGCAUCAUAAUUUACGUGUUAUUUUAAUAACCACAACUGGAAACAGGAAAGUGCCAUAAAAACAUUAUGCACAUAUUUCAGGUAUGGUGUGUUGAUGGCAGUGCUAAGACUGCUCUUCCGAAGGAAGAUCUUGGAAAAUUUCAUAGCGGGGAUUGUUAUAUUGUUCUCUACACAUAUCAUUCGGGUGACAAAAGAGAAGAAUUCUAUCUAACUUACUGGAUUGGGAAGAAUAGUAUACUGGUAACUGGGUUUUCACCUUUCUCAAAUGUUUUAUAUACAGCACCUUACUAUUGUUAUAUUUGCUUUCUCGUCUUUUUUUUUUGAAAUUGCACCAUAUUUUUGUGACUUUUCUUACUUUGCGUGUGAUCACCACAUCAUUGUGAUGAUAAAUUUGAUUUUAUGUAUUGCACGUUUUCUUCUUGACCUUUCUGUUAUUUUUAAUGAAUUCUUAUUCUUCUCAGCACAGUUAGUUAUUUCUUUGUCAUGUUUGUUAUUAAUCCCCACCCCACCACAAAACUGUGAACUUACUCUGUGAUUUAUUUCUUACAGGAAGAUCAGCAUACGGCUCUUCAAAUAACUAAUACAAUUUGGAAUUCAAUGAAAGGAAGACCUAUUCUGGUACUGUAUUUAUGUCGUGACAAUUUGCACAAUAUAUCCAGAAAGGAGUUUGACAUGUCUUGUAUUUGGUAUUGCAGGGUCGUAUUUAUGAAGGGAAGGAGCCUCCACAGUUUAUUGCUCUUUUCCAGCCCAUGGUUAUCCUUAAGGUAUGGUCUCUGCUUCCUACCUUACUCAAGUAAUGUAUACUGAUUGGGUUCAUAAUAACUUAAUAAGUGCUAUCCUGUGAGGAGCAAACUAUGGACUGGUAGUUCUAAAAAAACUAUGGAUUGAUCUGUAUAGCUGAAGAUAUUUACAUUGUCAAGUACUCCCUCUGUAAACUUUUAUAAGGCUUUUUAGAUCACUAAAGUAUGAUCUAAAAAAUCCUAUAAAAGUUUACAGAGGAAGUAUAAACUAAGGUUAUUACUAAAAUCAUGCAGGGUGGAAUCAGCUGCGGGUACAAGAAUUCUGUACAAGAGAAGGGCUUGCCAGAUGAAACAUAUCCUGGCACUGGUGUCGCUCUUGUUAGAAUUAAUGGAACGUCAAUUCAUAACAAUAAAACACUUCAAGUCGAUGCGGUAUGGUCUACCUCUACCUGUGCUUAUUUGAUUCCAAAUGAUAAUAUUUCUUGGAAGUAUGAAACUGUAUUUAAUGCUUAUUUUUAUGUUGUUAAGAUGACAUAUCAUAAUAAUGACUAAGAAUUUAGUUAGCUUCUGAGAUUCUUUUUACUCAAAUGUAGUUUCAUGACUUGGCAUAAAUGAUUCAUAAUAGAGUAUCUUAAUGGUAAACAGUGAAAAAUUCAUAGAAUGGUGGUAUACCCGUGCUGUUACGAAGCAAUGCUGUGAAGUAAAUAUAGUAGGUUAACCUGUGAUUGCGCAUCCAUCAUUUGUGCAUCUGUGCGUUAAAAUUUUGGCGAGUUUUUGUACACAAUCAUCGUGACUUACGUGCCAUUUUAUAGUUAAUGUGAUUGCUUAUGAAAAAAUGGAUUUUACUUCAUAAUCAUUUGAAAUGGAUAUUAGGGAAAACCAGUGGAAAAAACCAGAGAUGGGAGUGGGAAAAAAAUCAAAAUUGGGAGGAGGGAGGGCUGACCAUACGUGGGGGUUUGGACGAAGGAAAGAAGAGCGAAACGUCAACCUUAUGUUCUUUCUAAAUAGUGGAGACAGAGAUUGGACUGAUUUUCUGAUAAUAAAACUCUGUCGCCCACAUUCUUGUUCUUCAGAAUGACCUUUUAGCUUACUUUGCUCAUUAAAAACUUACAAACAUCCAGCGUCAUUCUCGUUUACAUAUUGACCACUAACCUUAGGUAGUACGAAUCAAACAUUUGCUACCUUUAAUUAACUCGUCAGUAACAAUUUUAUAGGUGUCAACAUCCUUGAGUUCCACGAAUUGUUUUGUCCUGCAAUCUGGAAAUUCAAUGUUUAUAUGGAUUGGCAACACAAGUUCUUAUGAACAACAACAGUGGGCUGCAAAAAUUGCUGAGUUCUUGAAGGUAUGAAAAAAGAUACCACCUUGUUAUUUCCCUUCUGUCUUUUGUAGUUAGUGCAAUUUCAUGUAUACAAAAAAAAAAGAUAAACUGUGCUCCUAUUGAUAACUUGUGAAUCUGUGAAAGUGAAGCUGAUGUUACAUUUUCUCAUUCUCAUUGUUCGUUCUCAUGAAAUAUCUUUCUAGGCCUUAGAUCAAAUGAGAUGACAUCUGUUGAGUUGUAUAUAGUUGUGUUUGUGUGUGGCCAUGAGUCCCAUAUACCCUUGUAAGGUCGGUAUGUAUGUGACUUGUACUAUGAUCCUUAUGAUAUAAAUGAGACAUGUAUUACAAUGCAAAAAANNNNNNNNNNNNNNNNNNNNNNNNNNNNNNNNNNNNNNNNNNNNNNNNNNNNNNNNNNNNNNNNNNNNNNNNNNNNNNNNNNNNNNNNNNNNNNNNNNNNNNNNNNNNNNNNNNNNNNNNNNNNNNNNNNNNNNNNNNNNNNNNNNNNNNNNNNNNNNNNNNNNNNNNNNNNNNNNNNNNNNNNNNNNNNNNNNNNNNNNNNNNNNNNNNNNNNNNNNNNNNNNNNNNNNNNNNNNNNNNNNNNNNNNNNNNNNNNNNNNNNNNNNNNNNNNNNNNNNNNNNNNNNGUUGGAAACUUCUGCGGAACUUACGGUGAACUGGAGAGGAAAAAAUCAUCCUGAAUUUUGAUUUGGACUAAUCUACUACUACCUCCGUUCACUUUUAUAAGGCCUUGAAGGCAUUUCAGACAGUGUGCAAAGCAAUCUAUUUUUCACUUGUCUGAAACGACUUACAAAAGUGAACGGAGGGAGUAGAAGAAUGAUAAUCUCAAGAUAAAAUUUAACAAUGUAUCAAUACCAGUCUUAUUUUCACCAACUUUAUCUAAGGGUAGUUCAUGUUUAACAACUUUACCAUAUUCGAGCUGUAAGCGGCCAAAUAUGAGCAAAUUUGUAUGGAAAUAGCAAAGUGCUCUUAGCUACAUUUUUCUUCAUUUUAUUUUAAGUGCCUUUUCAUGAAAUUUUCUGAUAUUAAAACCAAACCACUAUGCAUAACAGAUGCACCAGUUGCACAUGUGACACUGAAGUUACAAACAACUGGAAAGGCUACACAAAAUCUGUCUGAUUGGAGGGAACUUGUUUCUACCUAAUAAAUUGCAUGAAUGCAAUGCAAUAUUUGAAUUAAGAUGGUUGUUUACAGUUCCUGUUGUAAAUUUUGUACUCCCUCCGAUCCAUAUUACUUGUCGUUCAAACGGAUGUAUCUAGACGUAUUUCAGUGCUAGAUACAUCCAUUUGAGCGACAAGUAAUAUGGAUCGGAGUGAGUAGUACUUUACAAAACACUGACCUCCAUGAGUAAAACAUUAGAGAAUAUGAAAUAAUAUUAACAGGAUUGCUGUCACAGAUAAGGCCCCGUUUGGAACGCAGGAUUUUUGUAGGAAACAGUUGCAUCCUACAGAAGGAAACAGGGCAAAUCCCUGCUUCCAAACGCGACUGACUUGGUUGUCAAGCCCCUCGAAUAUCCUGUUCUUACUACAGAACGUUUGAUAUUUCCAUCAAUUUCCAGCUACUUAUUGCUAACUAUAAUUAUGUGAUGUGAUGUGUUCCAAACCACAGCCUGGCGUUGCUGUCAAACAUUGCAAGGAGGGAACCGAGAGCUCUUCUUUCUGGUCUGCUCUAGGUGGAAAACAGGAUUACUCAAAUAAAAAUGCCACACAAGAUGUUGUUAGAGAACCCCAUCUCUACACAUUCUCAUUUAGGAAUGGUCAGUUCUAUUCUGAACUUAAAUCCAUAUUUUUUUGUCUUAUUGCUACUACUUUGGGAGUUUAUAUUCUUUAAGUACCCUAAUCAUCUUCUGUUGUGUUGUUUUCAUUGUUCAUGUCGCGCCACGUACCAGGCAAGCUGGAGGUUUGUCAUCUUAUUCUUUGAAGCCUAAAUUUUGUAUGCUCCAGCACUUCAGGAUUGCAAAUUUUGAAGAAGCUUCUUUAUCUGUAGGUAACUGAAGUUUACAAUUUUUCACAAGAUGAUCUGUUGACCGAAGAUGUGAUGGUACUUGACACACACGCCGAAGUCUUUGUCUGGAUGGGUCAGUGUGUGGACACAAAAGAGAAACAAAUGGCAUUUGAAAUUGGCGAGGUAUAAUAUGAAGUAUUAUCUUUGUUGUUUUCAUCUGUAUUAGUACCAUUCAACGUAGAUAAAUAACCACUUUUCCGCAGAAAUACAUAGAACAUGCGGUGACCUUCGAAGGUCUUGCUUCUGACGUGCCUCUCUAUAAAGUCAGUGAAGGAAAUGAACCUUGCUUCUUUAGGACAUACUUCUCCUGGGAUAGCACAAGAUCUCUGGUAUGCCAUUCUUAUUUACCAAUUGCAUCUUACUUUUCUUUUCUCUCACUUCUAACUCUCUUCUAUUUAUCACCAUUUAUAUGGGGUAGCAGAUAUUUUGAACGGUUUACUUCAGAGGCAUUGCUACUCUCCUCUCAAAAACCUGCCUCCUUAGCACACUACUUGUGCUCAUCUACCGCUAAGUCUACAACUCUCUGCACCAGCGACGCCUUGCCGUCAAAUACUCUGGUGUUCUUUUACCCAAAAAGGCUUUCAUCCCGCUUUAUAUAUAAAGCAACGAUCAACAACAACCCGGUACAACGCAUGCCACCACAACACACGCACGCACCCAAGGCUGGAUACAUAGGUGCUGAUCACAGCAACACCACCCCUAGCACUACAAGAGCAACCGGGGGCUCAAUCGGGAACACGCCACCGCAAAGACGAACCAUGGGCUUCAAGGCGGCGCCUUCAGGAAGGAUACGACACUGGAGCGCCGCCACCGCCCGAUUCGAGGAUCAGAGUUUCCCCUGGAGCAGCACGACGGGCAGUGAGAGCCACGACGACGCCUUCAAGAAGGGAACGAGCUUCGCCGCCGUAGGUCUGUUCGAAGAUAGAACAGGUUUUCACCCCGGCCAACACUCACCGCCACCGAACGCUACACCCCGCCUACCACGCCGCCCACACGGCCAUGGCCACCGGGCAGCACCAAGCCACGGGCUCUGCCCAAAAGCACAACACUACCACCACCAGGGCCGCCGCCCUGGCAUCCAAGACCUUGACACCACCUCACCCGAGAUCCGCCACUACCCUAGCCAAAGAGACGAGCGGAAAGGACCCGCCUUUCACACCCCUGGGCAGCUCCCAGCGCCGAGACCCAAUAGGCUGGCCAAAGCUAUCCUCCAUCGACUCAUCCUGCAGCACCGGGCACGAGACGAGCUCGGUCCUACGGCACCGUGUGCGAAACGAGGUCGGUCUUGCUGCACCGUGCGCGAGACGAGCUCGGUCCUGCUACACCGUGCGCGGGACGAGGUCGGUAAUGCCGCACCGGGCGCGAGACAAGCGAUGGACAGCAGCUGGGAGAAGGACAACCCUUCGACGAAAGUAGUGUCCGGACGACGAGGAGAGGGGUCGAAGGCCGACACAGGGCGCCUACAAGCGAGCCGACGCUAGAACAAGCCAACCGCCGCCGCAACCAACCUGCCACCUCGCGAGCCGCUCGCCGACAGGCCGACGCCGGAGAAGACCGGCCGCCGCCGUGGAACGGCCCGGACCAUCGCCAUGAGCCACCACCACUCCGUGGCAGACCACAUCCACACCGGGACCCCGAGGGCCAGCCCCGAGCCACCCGCCGGCGGCCAUGGGCCAGAUCCGAGCUGAUCUGGCCGACCACCACCGCCACCAGCAGCAGCAGUAGGCGUGCCGCCUUGGUCCACGGCCAUCACCACGACCCCACCAGGCCGCAGCCUACCCCCGCGCCGCCCGACGCCCACACGCACGCCAGACCAGAUCGGAUCUGGACGGGGCCGCCGCCACCAAGUGCGCACCACCGCCGCCAUACGCACACCGCCCCCGCCAGGUGCGUGCCGGCCCGCCCCCGCCCGAUCUGGCCUGAGCGCCCGAUCCGAAUCCGCCGCAGCCGCUGCACCGCAAAUGUCCGGCCAGCUGCCGCUGCGACGCCACUAGGCGCCCUCGCUGUCGAUCCGGAUCAACGCCGCCGCGCCGCUGGCCCCCGCCGUAGGCCAGCGCCCCCGGACGAGCGGCCGACCCGCGCCAGCCAUGAUUCUCGCGCGGAGGGGAGACGAAGGCCCCGCUGCCGCCCUUGCCAGCCGGGCUUUGCCAGUUGGGCGGCGGCAGGGGAGGAGGACAGAGGGAGGAGGUGAGGAGCGGCGGCGAUUAGGGUUCCCCCAGGCGCUCGCGGGAGCGCCGUGGGAGGGAGAGGGGAGAGAGUCCUGGCGUUCCUUUCUAACCAAAGAUUGUGGAAUCCCACUAUUAUGAUAGAAGUCAAUUCUCUCACCUUAGUCCGAAUCUGUUGCUUAUCGAGCACCACCGUUCUCUCGCUGAUGUUCAUUUUUGGAGUUAAGCUUUGAAGUCUGAAGCUACGGAGGAAAAAAGCCCAGAAAUGUCUGGCAAACAGCACUGCACCAUGAGAUGGUCGAUGAACUCCGCAGCCUGAUUGCAAAGCAGGCAGUAGGGUGGGUGUUGCAUUCCCCGUCAGGCGAGCCGAUCAGCUGUCUAACGUGGAUCUCUAAUCACAAGGCA